UUAGAAGCCGAAAGGCUACUUAAAACCAUCGCGAACUCGUCCAAGUUGCUUCGGCGGCGCGGCCUCCCUCACGGGGGCGCCGCAGCCCCGCCUCUCCGGAGGUGUGGGGCGCCCGCCGGAGGUACGAAACUCUGUAUUAUAGUGGCAUCUCUGAAGUAAAAAACAAUAAGUUA
This 173-nucleotide unclassified non-coding RNA is filed under the name uncultured Ascomycota. RNAcentral's name for it is "sequence contains ITS1". The record is from RNAcentral. Lineage: Eukaryota; Fungi; Ascomycota.